CAGUCGCCACGGGAAUACGUAGGUGGCAAGCGUUGUCCGGAUUUAUUGGGCGUAAAGCGAGCGCAGGCGGUUUCUUAAGUCUGAUGUGAAAGCCCCCGGCUCAACCGGGGAGGGUCAUUGGAAACUGGGAGACUUGAGUGCAGAAGAGGAGAGUGGAAUUCCAUGUGUAGCGGUGAAAUGCGUAGAUAUAUGGAGGAACACCAGUGGCGAAGGCGGCUCUCUGGUCUGUAACUGACGCUGAGGCUCGAAAGCGUGGGGAGCGAACAGGAUUAGAUACCCGCGUAGUCCCUGUCUCUUAUAC
RNAcentral lists this ribosomal RNA (301 nucleotides) under uncultured bacterium. Its description in RNAcentral is "partial 16S ribosomal RNA". It matches the Rfam family "Bacterial small subunit ribosomal RNA", at positions 509 to 807 of the family's 1533-position model. The record is from RNAcentral.